RNAcentral lists this long non-coding RNA (1807 nucleotides) under Equus caballus (horse). Its description in RNAcentral is "lncRNA (ENSECAG00000052848.1)". The record is from RNAcentral. Lineage: Eukaryota; Metazoa; Chordata; Mammalia; Perissodactyla; Equidae.
AGCUCUUUGGCAUAAUAUAUUCCUGAAAAAUAUGGGUUACCACAAUACAAUUUAAGUGCCCAAUGUAAAACUAGUACUGUCUUAGCUAACUAGUUUCCUCUGCUUCUUUUAUCUAAUUUCUAUCGAGUAUUUAAUGCAUGCAUUAAUAGAGUCAAGAGCAAUUUAUGAAAGAUAAUAAAGUAUUUCAUAGCAAUGAUGCAAACGAAAUGUAAAUUUUGAAUUUGCAAAAUGAUUCAGUUAAAGCAGGAAAGAAAAUUAAAGGUGAGUUAGUAUAGAGAAAGCAAUAACAAGACAAAAAACUUAGACUAGUAAUUGAUGGUCCAGAAAUAAAGAGGCAGUUAGUUUUAUUUUUAAAAUAAGUUUAGAUCAAAGAAAACUGAAUUGCAGGCUAUCCAUUGGGAGAGAUGAAUAAAUGUAUUAUAUGGAAUAACAGAAGAGACCAUAUUUUUACCAUAUAAAUAUUUAAAAAGAAAAGAAACACGUUACUCAUUUAUUACAUUAAAGUGACAAAUAUAUAACUGAGCAAAAGAAAUUACAGCUACAUAUAAGCAUUGUGGCUUCUCAUUAGAGUCUACGGAAUGUUAACAUUGAAAAAUUGGAAAUAAAAAUCAUUAUCAAAAAUAAUGUAAUAAAAUUUUUAAAAUGUAUGAUUUAUAUCAUACAACCUUUAUAAAACAUGUACUUACUCAUUUUUAUUAAACCUAAAUAGAAAUACAAAUAAGUCGCAUUUAACUUACUGAUAAAAAGCUAUGGUUAUUCCCAUGUCACUAUAGUUAUAGGAAUUUCAAGUUUUGUUGCUCAUUGGAUAGUGCACACAGGGCCAGACUUGAUACUAUCAGUAUUUCCGAUUAAUUUCUGGAUUUUUGCCCAUUGUGGAGAGAUGAAAGUGACAGUUUGGCCAAUCUAGAACCUUGCAAGCUGACAAGAUUUGUCAAUUGUAGUCACAACUUUCAGUUUCAAUUUAAUUUCCUGGCUGAAUAUAGAGAAUAUUCUCAAUGAUCCUAAGAUGAGAGGACGUUGGAGGCAGUCACGUCAUGAUGCCCCUCUGGCCUGGAUCACAAGGAGACGAGGCAAAGCGAGCAUGGGAGAGGUGGCAGGGGCCGUCUUUCAUCGACAUUCAGACAUGUCAUCCUGAGUUUUAUAAUUAUUCUGAAUUAAAUAAUCUUCAAAAUGAGACAAAUCUGGAGGGUAUAAAUGUAGUCCUUUUCAUUACUUUAUGUUACAUAAAAUUUGGUGGUGUCCUUUACUCCUUUUUUUGAAAUCAAAUACUACAUAGGUUCCAUUUCCCCUUUCUACAGAGGGCAACUUUUUGAAAACAGUGGUUAGCAAUUAGUUAUUCAAGAAUUUCAGGAGAUGACUCCUUAAGAUAGAAACUAUAUAGCUAUUUCUGGGCCCCACGAGGAACAAAUAUCAAGCCCAGAAUUCUUUUAGUAACAGAGGCUCCGAUUUUCCAUAAGGAAUUCAUGAUCAAACUCUCUCUUCCUUUCAAUUUUUCUCUUGAGAAAGAACACCAGGGCUAGGCCUACUUGUAUUCUAAGAUAGAACCAGAAAAGAAAAUGAAAUAAUAAAUACAACUGCUCUGCACUUUUUUUAAAAGAGCUAUUUUCAUCAAUUUUUAGUAUACACAAAACACCUGAAUUUAACCCUAAACUUUCUAUGGCUCAGUCAAGAUCAAAUUCAGAAGAUGCACUUUGAAUCCAUGAUAAAGUCACUCUCAGAGGCGGGGGGAUUAUGCAGGGUGGGUUGUCCAGGUGCUCACACUCUACUUUUACGAAGACCAUCACACACCGUCUACAUGCAGCCCCUG